This 490-nucleotide ribosomal RNA is filed under the name uncultured bacterium. RNAcentral's name for it is "partial 16S ribosomal RNA". It matches the Rfam family "Bacterial small subunit ribosomal RNA", at positions 29 to 507 of the family's 1533-position model. The record is from RNAcentral.
AAUGAACGCUGGCGGCAUGCCUUACACAUGCAAGUCGAACGGCAGCAUGACCUAGCUUGCUAGGUUGAUGGCGAGUGGCGAACGGGUGAGUAAUGCAUCGGAACGUGCCUUUUAUUGGGGGAUAACGUAGCGAAAGUUACGCUAAUACCGCAUAUUCUCUGAGGAGGAAAGCAGGGGACCUUCGGGCCUUGCGCUAGAAGAGCGGCCGAUGUCGGAUUAGCUAGUUGGUGAGGUAAAGGCUCACCAAGGCAACGAUCCGUAGCGGGUCUGAGAGGAUGAUCCGCCACACUGGGACUGAGACACGGCCCAGACUCCUACGGGAGGCAGCAGUGGGGAAUUUUGGACAAUGGGCGCAAGCCUGAUCCAGCCAUGCCGCGUGAGUGAAGAAGGCCUUCGGGUUGUAAAGCUCUUUCGGCUGGGAAGAAAUCGCACCCUCUAAUACAGGGUGUGGAUGACGGUACCAGCAUAAGAAGCACCGGCUAACUACGUG